This 468-nucleotide ribosomal RNA is filed under the name uncultured bacterium. RNAcentral's name for it is "partial 16S ribosomal RNA". It matches the Rfam family "Bacterial small subunit ribosomal RNA", at positions 28 to 507 of the family's 1533-position model. The record is from RNAcentral.
GACGAACGCUGGCGGCGUGCUUAACACAUGCAAGUCGAACGGAAAGGCCCUGCUUUUGUGGGGUGCUCGAGUGGCGAACGGGUGAGUAACACGUGAGUAACCUGCCCUUGACUUUGGGAUAACUUCAGGAAACUGGGGCUAAUACCGGCUAGGAGCUCCUGCUGCAUGGUGGGGGUUGGAAAGUUUCGGCGGUUGGGGUUGGACUCGCGGCUUAUCAGCUUGUUGGUGGGGUAGUGGCUUACCAAGGCUUUGACGGGUAGCCGGCCUGAGAGGGUGACCGGCCACAUUGGGACUGAGAUACGGCCCAGACUCCUAAGGGAGGCAGCAGUGAGGAAUAUUGCACAAUGGGCUGAAGCCUGAUGCAGCAACGCCGCGUGCGGGAUGACGGCCUUCGGGUUGUAAACCGCUUUCGCCUGUGACGAAGCGUGAGUGACGGUAAUGGGUAAAGAAGCACCGGCUAACUACGUG